AAGACCAAGGGUUCCUGUCCAACGUUAAUCGGGGCAGGGUGAGUCGACCCCUAAGGCGAGGCCGAAAGGCGUAGUCGAUGGGAAACAGGUUAAUAUUCCUGUACUUGGUGUUACUGCGAAGGGGGGACGGAGAAGGCUAUGUUGGCCGGGCGACGGUUGUCCCGGUUUAAGCGUGUAGGCUGGUUUUCCAGGCAAAUCCGGAAAAUCAAGGCUGAGGCGUGACGACGAGGCACUACGGUGCUGAAGCAACAAAUGCCCUGCUUCCAGGAAAAGCCUCUAAGCAUCAGGUAACAUCAAAUCGUACCCCAAACCGACACAGGUGGUCAGGUAGAGAAUACCAAGGCGCUUGAGAGAACUCGGGUGAAGGAACUAGGCAAAAUGGUGCCGUAACUUCGGGAGAAGGCACGCUGACACGUAGGUGAAGUGAUUUACUCAUGGAGCUGAAGUCAGUCGAAGAUACCAGCUGGCUGCAACUGUUUAUUAAAAACACAGCACUGUGCAAACACGAAAGUGGACGUAUACGGUGUGACGCCUGCCCGGUGCCGGAAGGUUAAUUGAUGGGGUCAGCGCAAGCGAAGCUCCUGAUCGAAGCCCCGGUAAACGGCGGCCGUAACUAUAACGGUCCUAAGGUAGCGAAAUUCCUUGUCGGGUAAGUUCCGACCUGCACGAAUGGCGUAAUGAUGGCCAGGCUGUCUCCACCCGAGACUCAGUGAAAUUGAACUCGCUGUGAAGAUGCAGUGUACCCGCGGCAAGACGGAAAGACCCCGUGAACCUUUACUAUAGCUUGACACUGAACAUUGAGCCUUGAUGUGUAGGAUAGGUGGGAGGCUUUGAAGCGUGGACGCCAGUCUGCGUGGAGCCGACCUUGAAAUACCACCCUUUAAUGUUUGAUGUUCUAACGUGGACCCGUAAUCCGGGUUGCGGACAGUGUCUGGUGGGUAGUUUGACUGGGGCGGUCUCCUCCUAAAGAGUAACGGAGGAGCACGAAGGUUGGCUAAUCCUGGUCGGACAUCAGGAGGUUAGUGCAAUGGCAUAAGCCAGCUUGACUGCGAGCGUGACGGCGCGAGCAGGUGCGAAAGCAGGUCAUAGUGAUCCGGUGGUUCUGAAUGGAAGGGCCAUCGCUCAACGGAUAAAAGGUACUCCGGGGAUAACAGGCUGAUACCGCCCAAGAGUUCAUAUCGACGGCGGUGUUUGGCACCUCGAUGUCGGCUCAUCACAUCCUGGGGCUGAAGUAGGUCCCAAGGGUAUGGCUGUUCGCCAUUUAAAGUGGUACGCGAGCUGGGUUUAGAACGUCGUGAGACAGUUCGGUCCCUAUCUGCCGUGGGCGCUGGAGAACUGAGGGGGGCUGCUCCUAGUACGAGAGGACCGGAGUGGACGCAUCACUGGUGUUCGGGUUGUCAUGCCAAUGGCACUGCCCGGUAGCUAAAUGCGGAAGAGAUAAGUGCUGAAAGCAUCUAAGCACGAAACUUGCCCCGA
This 1476-nucleotide ribosomal RNA is filed under the name Salmonella enterica subsp. enterica serovar Newport. Its description in RNAcentral is "partial 23S ribosomal RNA". It matches the Rfam family "Bacterial large subunit ribosomal RNA", at positions 1341 to 2802 of the family's 2925-position model. The record is from RNAcentral. Lineage: Bacteria; Pseudomonadati; Pseudomonadota; Gammaproteobacteria; Enterobacterales; Enterobacteriaceae.